CCUACGGGAGGCAGCAGUGAGGAAUAUUGGUCAAUGGCCGGAAGGCUGAACCAGCCAUGCCGCGUGAAGGUCAGUGCCCUAUGGGCGUUAAACUUCUUUUGUGCGGGAGCAAUAAUGGUCACGUGUGGCCAGACGAGAGUACCGUACGAAUAAGCAUCGGCUAACACCGUGCCAGCAGCCGCGGUAAAACGGGGGAUGCAAGCGUUAUCUGGAUUUAUUGGGUUUAAAGGGUGCGUAGGCUGUGAGGUAAGUCAGCGGUGAAAUGCCCCCGCUCAACGGGGUGAAGUGCCAUUGAAACUGCCUUGCUGGAAUGCGGAUGCCGUGGGAGGAAUGUGUGGUGUAGCGGUGAAAUGCAUAGAUAUCACACAGAACACCGAUUGCGAAGGCAUCUCACGAAUCCGCGAUUGACGCUGAUGCACGAAAGCGUGGGUAUCGAACAGGAUUAGAUACCCUGGUAGUC
Molecule: ribosomal RNA, 460 nt
Filed under: uncultured bacterium
Lineage: Bacteria
Description: partial 16S ribosomal RNA
Rfam family: Bacterial small subunit ribosomal RNA
Source: RNAcentral